Molecule: transfer RNA, 86 nt
Filed under: Microcaldota archaeon
Lineage: Archaea; Nanobdellati; Microcaldota
Also listed under: 1 other name
Description: Candidatus Micrarchaeota archaeon (hot springs metagenome) tRNA-Leu
Rfam family: tRNA
About the family: Transfer RNA (tRNA) molecules are approximately 80 nucleotides in length. Their secondary structure includes four short double-helical elements and three loops (D, anti-codon, and T loops).
Source: RNAcentral
GCAGGGGUAGCAAAGCCUGGUCAAAUGUGCGAGGCUCAGAACCUCGUCCCAUAGUGGGUUCGUGGGUUCAAAUCCCACCCCCUGCA